CCUACGGGGGGCAGCAGUGGGGAAUAUUGCACAAUGGGCGCAAGCCUGAUGCAGCCAUGCCGCGUGUGUGAAGAAGGCCUUCGGGUUGUAAAGCACUUUCAGCGGGGAGGAAGGCGUUAAGGUUAAUAACCUUGGCGAUUGACGUUACCCGCAGAAGAAGCACCGGCUAACUCCGUGCCAGCAGCCGCGGUAAUACGGAGGGUGCAAGCGUUAAUCGGAAUUACUGGGCGUAAAGCGCACGCAGGCGGUCUGUCAAGUCGGAUGUGAAAUCCCCGGGCUCAACCUGGGAACUGCAUUCGAAACUGGCAGGCUAGAGUCUUGUAGAGGGGGGUAGAAUUCCAGGUGUAGCGGUGAAAUGCGUAGAGAUCUGGAGGAAUACCGGUGGCGAAGGCGGCCCCCUGGACAAAGACUGACGCUCAGGUGCGAAAGCGUGGGGAGCAAACAGGAGUAGAUACCCUGGUAGUC
This 465-nucleotide ribosomal RNA is filed under the name uncultured Klebsiella sp. RNAcentral describes it as "bacterial SSU rRNA". It matches the Rfam family "Bacterial small subunit ribosomal RNA", at positions 338 to 795 of the family's 1533-position model. Lineage: Bacteria; Pseudomonadati; Pseudomonadota; Gammaproteobacteria; Enterobacterales; Enterobacteriaceae. The record is from RNAcentral.